RNAcentral lists this ribosomal RNA (301 nucleotides) under uncultured bacterium. Its description in RNAcentral is "partial 16S ribosomal RNA". It matches the Rfam family "Bacterial small subunit ribosomal RNA", at positions 509 to 807 of the family's 1533-position model. The record is from RNAcentral.
CAGUAGCCGCGGUAAUACGGAGGGAGCUAGCGUUGUUCGGAAUCACUGGGCGUAAAGCGCACGUAGGCGGCUAUUCAAGUCAGGGGUGAAAGCCCGGGGCUCAACCCCGGAACUGCCUUUGAAACUAGAUAGCUUGAAUCUUGGAGAGGCGAGUGGAAUUCCGAGUGUAGAGGUGAAAUUCGUAGAUAUUCGGAAGAACACCAGUGGCGAAGGCGACUCGCUGGACAAGUAUUGACGCUGAGGUGCGAAAGCGUGGGGAGCGAACAGGAUUAGAUACCCCCGUAGUCCCUGUCUCUUAUAC